GGGGAGACAGCUCAAGUGGUAGAGUGCCUGCUUAGCAUGCGUGAGGUCCUGGGUUCAAUCCCCAGUACCUCCU
RNAcentral lists this transfer RNA (73 nucleotides) under Camelus bactrianus (Bactrian camel). It matches the Rfam family "tRNA". From Rfam's summary of the family: Transfer RNA (tRNA) molecules are approximately 80 nucleotides in length. Their secondary structure includes four short double-helical elements and three loops (D, anti-codon, and T loops). Further hydrogen bonds mediate the characteristic L-shaped molecular structure. tRNAs have two regions of fundamental functional importance: the anti-codon, which is responsible for specific mRNA codon recognition, and the 3' end, to which the tRNAs corresponding amino acid is attached (by aminoacyl-tRNA synthetases). tRNAs cope with the degeneracy of the genetic code in two manners: having more than one tRNA (with a specific anti-codon) for a particular amino acid; and 'wobble' base-pairing, i.e. permitting non-standard base-pairing at the 3rd anti-codon position. The record is from Rfam by way of RNAcentral. RNAcentral also lists the same sequence under 2 other names. Lineage: Eukaryota; Metazoa; Chordata; Mammalia; Artiodactyla; Camelidae.